AUAAGUAAUACAGUGAUAUGAGAUCAGAUUGUGUGAUUUAGAUAAUAUAUAUUGUAAA
RNAcentral lists this non-coding RNA (58 nucleotides) under Trypanosoma brucei brucei. The record is from RNAcentral. Lineage: Eukaryota; Euglenozoa; Kinetoplastea; Trypanosomatida; Trypanosomatidae.